Molecule: long non-coding RNA, 489 nt
Organism: Lepisosteus oculatus (spotted gar)
Lineage: Eukaryota; Metazoa; Chordata; Actinopteri; Semionotiformes; Lepisosteidae
Source: RefSeq, a predicted model, not a curated record
UUUGGGAAAGGGUUAGAGAGGCAAGCUGGGUUUUUGAUGUUGGCUUGUUGUGGAUGCAAAAGGGGCAGAAGUGUUGGUGAUUUAAGGAGACCUAGAGCCCUGGACUGCAGCCCUUGAGAACCAGCGAUGGAGACAGUUAUGAUGAAUGGCUUUUAUUCUCACGGUAAUCGCAUGACGGGUAACAAUCAAAUGGAAAUCCCCUCCUCCCAGGAACAGAAACUUUGACCUCACCCCUCCAGGAGUAAUCUCUAUCUUUGCCCAAAAGGGGGUCACCUCUUCAUUAAGUCUGCCCGUCAUACGAAUUAUUUACAAGUGGAAAUUACUGCUGUUGUUUCUCUUUAGAAUGUGUGACUUAACAUGUUCUAAGUGGUCUGGAAAGCUGAAAUAGUAAAUUGAAUCUAUUGUAUUCUUUACUAGGUGGCUGAUGUACUGUAGGUUAAAAAUCUAUCAAGCUAAAUUUGCAUCCGAUAUCAUGCCUUCUACAUCUAA